This is a small nuclear RNA of Nomascus leucogenys (northern white-cheeked gibbon), 105 nucleotides long. NCBI's taxonomy places the organism in Eukaryota, Metazoa, Chordata, Mammalia, Primates, Hylobatidae. The record is from Ensembl.
GUGCUUGCUUUGGCAGCACAUAUACUAAAAUUGGAAUGAUACAGAUAAGAUUAGCAAGGCCCAUACAAGGAUGACAGGUAAAUUCAUGAAGCACUCAUUAUUUAA